RNAcentral lists this transfer RNA (77 nucleotides) under Candidatus Peregrinibacteria bacterium. RNAcentral's name for it is "tRNA-Ala". It matches the Rfam family "tRNA". From Rfam's summary of the family: Transfer RNA (tRNA) molecules are approximately 80 nucleotides in length. Their secondary structure includes four short double-helical elements and three loops (D, anti-codon, and T loops). The record is from RNAcentral. RNAcentral also lists the same sequence under 2 other names. Lineage: Bacteria; Candidatus Peregrinibacteriota.
GGGGACUUAGCUCAGUUGGCUAGAGCGCCUGUUUUGCACGCAGGAGGUCAAGGGUUCGAUUCCCUUAGUCUCCACCA